Molecule: ribosomal RNA, 1530 nt
Filed under: Escherichia coli
Lineage: Bacteria; Pseudomonadati; Pseudomonadota; Gammaproteobacteria; Enterobacterales; Enterobacteriaceae
Also listed under: 21 other names
Description: bacterial SSU rRNA
Rfam family: Bacterial small subunit ribosomal RNA
Source: RNAcentral
AGAGUUUGAUCAUGGCUCAGAUUGAACGCUGGCGGCAGGCCUAACACAUGCAAGUCGAACGGUAACAGGAAGCAGCUUGCUGCUUUGCUGACGAGUGGCGGACGGGUGAGUAAUGUCUGGGAAACUGCCUGAUGGAGGGGGAUAACUACUGGAAACGGUAGCUAAUACCGCAUAAUGUCGCAAGACCAAAGAGGGGGACCUUCGGGCCUCUUGCCAUCGGAUGUGCCCAGAUGGGAUUAGCUAGUAGGUGGGGUAAAGGCUCACCUAGGCGACGAUCCCUAGCUGGUCUGAGAGGAUGACCAGCCACACUGGAACUGAGACACGGUCCAGACUCCUACGGGAGGCAGCAGUGGGGAAUAUUGCACAAUGGGCGCAAGCCUGAUGCAGCCAUGCCGCGUGUAUGAAGAAGGCCUUCGGGUUGUAAAGUACUUUCAGCGGGGAGGAAGGGAGUAAAGUUAAUACCUUUGCUCAUUGACGUUACCCGCAGAAGAAGCACCGGCUAACUCCGUGCCAGCAGCCGCGGUAAUACGGAGGGUGCAAGCGUUAAUCGGAAUUACUGGGCGUAAAGCGCACGCAGGCGGUUUGUUAAGUCAGAUGUGAAAUCCCCGGGCUCAACCUGGGAACUGCAUCUGAUACUGGCAAGCUUGAGUCUCGUAGAGGGGGGUAGAAUUCCAGGUGUAGCGGUGAAAUGCGUAGAGAUCUGGAGGAAUACCGGUGGCGAAGGCGGCCCCCUGGACGAAGACUGACGCUCAGGUGCGAAAGCGUGGGGAGCAAACAGGAUUAGAUACCCUGGUAGUCCACGCCGUAAACGAUGUCGACUUGGAGGUUGUGCCCUUGAGGCGUGGCUUCCGGAGCUAACGCGUUAAGUCGACCGCCUGGGGAGUACGGCCGCAAGGUUAAAACUCAAAUGAAUUGACGGGGGCCCGCACAAGCGGUGGAGCAUGUGGUUUAAUUCGAUGCAACGCGAAGAACCUUACCUGGUCUUGACAUCCACGGAAGUUUUCAGAGAUGAGAAUGUGCCUUCGGGAACCGUGAGACAGGUGCUGCAUGGCUGUCGUCAGCUCGUGUUGUGAAAUGUUGGGUUAAGUCCCGCAACGAGCGCAACCCUUAUCCUUUGUUGCCAGCGGUCCGGCCGGGAACUCAAAGGAGACUGCCAGUGAUAAACUGGAGGAAGGUGGGGAUGACGUCAAGUCAUCAUGGCCCUUACGACCAGGGCUACACACGUGCUACAAUGGCGCAUACAAAGAGAAGCGACCUCGCGAGAGCAAGCGGACCUCAUAAAGUGCGUCGUAGUCCGGAUUGGAGUCUGCAACUCGACUCCAUGAAGUCGGAAUCGCUAGUAAUCGUGGAUCAGAAUGCCACGGUGAAUACGUUCCCGGGCCUUGUACACACCGCCCGUCACACCAUGGGAGUGGGUUGCAAAAGAAGUAGGUAGCUUAACCUUCGGGAGGGCGCUUACCACUUUGUGAUUCAUGACUGGGGUGAAGUCGUAACAAGGUAACCGUAGGGGAACCUGCGGUUGGAUCACCU